Non-coding RNA from Dipodomys ordii (Ord's kangaroo rat), 130 nucleotides. Lineage: Eukaryota; Metazoa; Chordata; Mammalia; Rodentia; Heteromyidae. The record is from Ensembl.
UGGACAUUUAAUUUUGUUCAGUUUCUUCUUGAAAUGAAGACAACUCUUUGUAAAUGUCCUAGAGAAAUACUGUAGCUUUCUGUUCAGCCUUUUUAAGUAAAAAGGAUGGAUCGUUCCAUUAAAAAAAAAA